GACAGUAUACUUGCUUAGUAAAAAGAAAAACAAACACACAUAAGAGAGAAGGGUGUAUACUAUACAUCAUGGAGAAAAUACGUUAGAAGAUUAUUUAGAGGUGAAGUUAUCCAAAUUCCUUCUCUCCGAGAUUGAGAACAUUCAGGCCCCUAGAAACAGAAUAUGCUACCUGCUCAAGGAGACAAGCUACAGAAUGUAACCUAAGUGGGGCCACCUGCUCAGUGACCUGGAAUCUCUGCCCUCUUGACGCCUGUCUGAAUGGCCCCUCCCAAAUUCCCUAACAUAAGGAGAUACUAGAUGUGGCUCUCUCAACUUGGGACUCCCCAGCCUCCAGAACUGUAAGAAAUACGUCUCUGUUCUUCAUAAGUUAUCUAGUGUAGUAAUCAUUUGCCCCUCACUAUGCCAAAAUAGCCAACACUCACAACUUAAAAGUGAAGAGAUUUAUACUGCAGUGUUCAUGGUUUCCAGAGGAUUCGAUCCAUGAUUGUCUGGCUCCAAGGCACGACGGAAGGGCAUGACAAAGAAGCCUGCUCACCUUAUGUGAGAAAAGGGAGGAACCAGGGACAAGAAUUCACCCAUCCCGGGAAUGUUCCAAUGAUUCAAGUCUCCAACCAGGCCUUUUCUCCUAAUAGUACAUGAACUACUGAGUUCAAAAAUAGAUGAAUCCACUGAUGAGCAUAUUGUCACCAGGAUCCAACCACCUUCCAAACAGAUAAGGCUUUUGAUGGACAUUUUCAACCAAAAGACAACACUUAUUCUUGGGGUAUUCUGUUAUAGAGCAGAAAACAGACUGAGGCAUCAUGCAUUCUGAAAUUCUAGGUAUAAAGCCAUAUUUUGUUGUUUUACAACAUGGAAUUGAAAAAAAUAUGUCAGCACUUGUAACAGUGAUUUAUGUAGAAACUUAAGUGAAUCAAUGAAACUUAAGGUGAGAAUAUCCACUGUCAAAUUCUAUUUUAAAGUGUUGAAGCCAGGCAUGGUAGCACACAUCUGUAAUCCCAGCACUCGAGAGGCUGAGGCAAGAGGAUCACUGAGAGUUUGAGACCAGCCUGGGCUACAAAGUGAGCUCAAGGCCAGCCUGAACUGCGUAGCUAGACCCCGUCUCAAAAAAACGAUGAAAAAAAAAGUGUUUCAAUGACAAACAUUGUACAUGUUCAAGAUAUACAAGGUGGUGAUCUUAUUACAUGUAUAUAUUUUUCAAUGAAUGCCAUAAUCAAAUUAAUUUACAUAUCCAACACCUCCCGUGAGUUCCUUGUGGUCCUCAGAACUAGCUGGUCUUAUAAUUAGAACUCAUAUACUCUGGCCACCAUUUCCCAUUUUCCUGGUAAACAUUGCCCUUCCCUCUGUUUCUAUGAGUUUGAGUUUUUUAGAAUCUAUCUGUGUCUGUGUUAUUUCAUUUAACAUAAUGUCCUCCAGGUUCAUCAGUGGUGUCCUAAAACAGCAGGAUUGCUCUCUUUUUUAUGACUGCAUGUGUCAAUAUUACAAAUAUUCUCACUUUUACCUCAUGCAUGAUGUUGACAGUUUGUUUUUAUGUCUUAGUCAUUGUCAAUAAUGCUGCGAUGAGCAUAGGAGUAGAGGUAUCUCUUUGGAUCUUAAUUUCAUUUUCCGCAAGUGGGAUUUACAGGUAAUAAUUCAGCCUCUCCAUGCCUGCUGUUUUACAUAAUGGCUGAAUUAUUGGUGGAUUCGCAUUCCUAGAAAAAAUGUGCAGAGAUGUCCUUUUCUUCACGCCCUCAUGAGCACUUUUCAAUCUUUCAUCAUCUUUACGAUGGCCAUCCUAGCAGAUGUGAUUUGAUAUGUCACUGGUGUUUUGAUUUUUAUCUCUCUGAUAUCUAAUAAUCCUGAAAUCUUUCCAUAUAUCCUUUAGGCAUUUAAAUUUCUUCAGUAGAAAAAACCUUUUCAGGUCUUUUGCCCACUUUUAAAUCAAAUUGUUUCUGCUUUUGGUACAGAAGUGUGUAAGAAGUUUAUGUCAAAUUUUUGUUACUGAAUCAACAUGGUUAGUUUUCAUUCUACACAACAAAAAGCAUAUGCAUUGUUUUAAGUGAAGAAUUCAAGCACUUAAGAUUUGCAGUUUCUACUGUGUUUUUACCUGACUGUUUACCCCAAGGAGUAAACUCAUCUUGCCUUACUGGAAAAAUCAGUCCGUAGAGUUGUUAUCAUCAAGAAUUUAUCAGAAAGGUUGAGCCACUGCUGACUUCUAAGCCUGUGGCUGCACACAGUUGGAGAGCACAUACCAGAUGCUUUGUCUUAGAGAACAGGAGUUGUGUGUGGUGACAAAUGCUGCAAUGCUCUGAAGCACCAAUUACUAACUAUUUAAAGAUGAUGUUAUCCCCGCAGUAGAACACAGAGCCUGAUGAUGAAAAAUCUGAUUCUCUUGCAGGAGUCAAGUAUUCCCACACUCGCUGUAGCAGGCCUUUAUGAUCCGUAUUAAUCACAAGAUUCUGUAGGGAAUUCUUGUCUAGUGAUAAGCUUAAGGCAUUAAUUAAGUCACUACAUACGUGAUGCUGGAGUUGUUCACUCUGUUUGUAAUGCAUACUUGUCUACUGGUCUGAAUUAAUAGAACAGAGAGCCGAUGCCCCAGCUUCCUAUCUCCAAAGAAGCCAACCUGGGGGGUGCCACCCAGCUACGGACUGAAUUGUGUUCCUCUUCAAAAUCCAUAUGUUGAAACCCUAUAUUAGCUAAUAUUUUAGUAUUAUAACAAAAUAACCAAGACAUUUGAUUAUAAAGAAAAGGAUUUUACUUAUGGCUUUGGGGCUGCACGGCUGAAUAACAUGGCACAGGCUCUGGCAAGGGCUGCUCUCUAUAUAACCUAUGUUGGGCUGCAAUGGGGAGAGCACAAAGCUUAUCUUAUCUCCUUUAGGAGGCAGCUUCUGCAGUAACCCAAGGAGCUUCCAGUAGGCACCACUCCUCCAAGGUUCUACCACCUCUCAUUGCCUCUCUGAGGAUCAAGACUUUAAAACAGACUUUUCAGGUCACCCCCACCAUAUUUACAACCCUAACCCCCACUGCCUCCGAAUGUGACAGACAUGGAUACAAAGUCUUUAAGGAGGAAAUUAAAUGAAAAUGAUACCACUAGAGUGGACCUUAAGCCAGUCUUGCAUAUCAUUCUAAGAGAAGAGGAUGUUUAGCCAGGCAUUGGGACUCUAGGUAUGUGCUAGAUAGGCCACGUGAAGAUACAGCAAGAAAUGGGUCUCCUACUAGUCAAGGAGAGAGCUCUCAGAAGGCAGCAAGCUUGCCAAAACGCUGAAAUUGAACUCCAAAACUCUGAAGAAAGUAAUUUCUGUUCUUUAAGCCACUUGGUCUAUGGCAUUUUAUCAUGACAGCCUUAGGAAACCAAUGCGUGCUUUCAUGAACGGUUAAAAAACGGCAAGUUCCCUAAUCAUUUUCCUUAGGGUAAACCAUUUAUGAGUUUACUAUACAUGACUCCAAAUUAGUCUGUUUCUUAGACACAGAGAAGCUCUCUUUAGAAAAAUUGAACAUUUCUGCAUCUCAGGGCCAUCGUCACCUUAUACAACUGACUGGGAACAGUAGCUGCUGCCUCCGUCCAAGAGGUGGUGCCCAGUCUCGCACAGCCCCUCCUCAUAUGCGCCAUUGCCACAUACUAAAUCGUUCUGCUUACUUAAAAUACCAGUCUAGCCUCUGUAAGCGUUUGAAUUUAGGAGUCUCGGAGAUGUCUGCUCAGAACCAAGCGGUUUCUAUCACGGAUGCAGAGCCAUCGAUCAGACGUCCCUGUGAGACUUGGCAGUGGCAGGCCAGCUAGGAACAUUUCCGCUAAAGCCAGCUGACAUUGAUUUUUGGACACACCUUCAGAGGAUAAAACAGAGUCACAAAAUCAAGGAAGCAAUAAUUCUUCUCCAGCGACUGCAAUUACUGGAGUAGAGUCACCUUGUAUAUAAACCAGAUGACAGAUAGUGAGGAUAGCCUUCUUUUCCUCUUGCUCAUUUUAAAAUUCAUGCACACUAAAGAAGGAAGAUUAUUAUGUGCCCAAAAGGUGAUAUUGUAGUUUACUAUGAAUCAUAGAGUUUUAGUCAAGAUUAAUUUUGUUUCAGAUAAAGUUCGUAGAACUGUCGUCCUUUGCUGAUUUGUGAUGCACCCAACACCACAUUAAUCCUCAAGCAAUUUUAAAAAGCUACAAGUAAUCAGAGAAGCAACCUCCAGAGAUAUUCUGUUAGCCCUAGGAACCUAGACUUCCUCACUUGGUCAAGGAAAAUCUCCAUAGAGAAAAAGCCAAGAUUGUGCUGAGGAAGUCAGAGUGGCACAGCUUGGCAACAAAUGCUGUCUCUUUUUCUCUGCCUCUCCCUGGUCAGCUAUUCCUGGCCCUCCUUGCUUUGCCUCAUUCUUUACUCUCAUUUAUUUAUUUUGCCUCCUUAAGCACUCUGGAAAGAUUUUCUUGGUGGUGGGGCAACGGAACACUCUCCAACUAGCAGGUUGGCCUCUUUGGUGGGAGGCUCAGGACUACCUGUGUAAUUUCAUUGAAACAGGUAUUAGCUGUAAAGGCUUUAAAGCAAAUGGUCAGCAUUGUGCAUUGAUCUAAGCCUCCUCAUAUGCUAAAGGUGCCAAAGAUUUAUUACAUUCUAAUGGCCAGAUAUUAAUUCAGUGACUGCAUGGACAAAAGUUAAACCUAUGUUUUCCAGUAACCACACACACACGCACAUCAAUAACAACCAGCCUUCUUCACUCCCCAUACACACACACACACACACACACACACACACACACACACUCACACACACAUGCACUCAUACACGUACACUAUUAGCUACUAUUCACUCACAUACCCAACAAUAACCACAAACACUAUCAACAAUUAUUCACAUUCACAUCUAAUAUGUUAGUUAGUUCACGGGAUCAUAACAGCACACUUUAGAAUGGUUGCUUAAACAACAGUCAUUUAUUUCUCACAGUUCUGGGGCUAAGAAGCCCAGCAGAUCCCUUUCCUUGGUUUGCAGACAACAUGGAACAGGGAGAGGAGUCUAGUUUCUUUCUCUUCUUAUAAAAAUAAGAAAAGCAACCAUCAUAAUAGCCCUGUUUUCACAACCUCAUUUAAACCUCGUGCCUCCCACAUGUCCAGAGAUCAGAGUUUCAGUACAUAAAUAUUUUAGGAAUAACAAUAUGCAGUAUAUAAUGCAUACCACAACAAAUGCCACCCUUAUGCAACACUCUGCCCUUACUCACGCAGUAUUUCAUAAUAUGCAUAUUAUACAAAUGUGUUACAAAAAUGUGGUCCUCAUAAAUUAAGUUGAAAAGAAUAUGAGGAGAAAAAAGAAAUAUUAAAAACUGAGCUCUAUAAUUUAGUUUCCACCUAUUAUGAGCACAUGUUUAUAUUAUAAUAUAUAAUAAUUACACUCCUUGUAGGAAGUUGGUACAUGUUCUUAUACCUUAAUUAUACCUUAAUUCUUUUUAUACAUUUGCCCUCCCUUUCCAUCUCUCUCCCUCCUUCUCUUGAUUCCUUUCCUCUUUGAAUAAAAUCUAUUUCUGUAAUUCCUAUUAUCUAUCUUUUAUUUUGGUCUUUAUUCAUGGUUUGGGUUUGUAGAGACACCAUAUGGUCGUUAAGCUUGCGUGACUGACUUAUUUCAUUUAGCAUGAUGGUAUUAAGGUACAUCCAUUUUCUUGCAAAUGACUCAAGUUUAUCCUGCUUUAUGUCAAAGGAGUACUCCAUUAAUAACACACUCUCUUUAUCCAUUCAUCUGUUGUUAGAUAUAUAGCCUGCUCACAAGAUUUAAUUAUUGUGAACUGUACUGCUAAUAAACUUGGGUAUGUAUGUGUCAUUGUAAUACAAUGUCUUCAACCCUUUCAGGAAGACACCUAGAAAAGGAGUAACUGGGUCAAGUGGAAGAGCACAGUUUUAGUCUUAUCUUUCUCUUUAUUUUAGAAUCUCCAACUCUGACUUCCAACUAACUCAGCUUCGAAUACAGACUUCUGAAGGGAAAUGCUUAGUUCAUUUGAGAGUAGCCAUUUUUCCUAUUUUUUCCCAAUUUGCAUCCCUUGCUGACUUCUAAAUAUAAGCCAAUCUAGACAAGAUAGUGUGUUGUAGGUACCAAUGAACUAACAAACUUUUAUCUGUGUUUUAUAUAAGAACCAAAACAUAUGUUCUCAUCUUUUAUGCCUUCUUGCCAAAAGGCAAUAAAUACUCCUUUACUAGUGAAAUGAUUCAGAGUAAGACAAUUAGGCAGCUUGAUAAGGGUAAGAGAUUGUGUAUUCUGUGGGUUUGGGAGGGUGUUUAGUGUUUUUCAAAAUAUAAUCUGAAUACAUUGCCCUUAUCUAAUUGGAAGGAGAUUAUCCCAAAGCUGUCAACUCAUGAUUACACCAAGCUUACCAUGCUCCGGAUCAUCUUGAGCUCUUUUUUUUUUUUCCCUCCUUCUGCCUACUCUUUCUCUUGUUUACUGCUUAUUAUCUUCAUCAGUAUCUAAAAGAGAAAGGUCAUGGUGAUAUAUACAUCAAUCUCUUCAUUUUAUCCUUGUACUUCUGCAAAGAAUUUAAAAGAAGAAUAAACUGAAGUAGAUUGAGAUGUAAAGAUCCCCUGAAGGUUUUAAUUAAUUCUGUACUCUUAUUCCUCCUCUGUUUGCACAAUUUAGAAUUGGUUGUGAGAUAAAUAUACCUUUAGUUUACCUUCCUUGGCUCGGAAUGAGAAAUUCUCUAACUUACCAAAGAAAAGGAAACAGUAAGCGCCACUGAAAUGGGUUUAUUACCCAAAAAAUGUGAUUUGCACUCUAUUUUUUGUCAAGCCCUGCCAUUCACAUCAAAGUUCUGAAAAUUCAACAUCUCUAGUAGGAAUUGACAUUAAUGUGAAUUACACCGGAAUUGUAUGUGUGACUAAUUUCAUAACUACACAAAGAGAUUAUCGCUGACCAUUGAUAAACUCUAUUUGAUAUGAAGGAAGUCUCCUAAAUCUCAUGAACUUCAGUAAAUUCACCUACAAUAGAUUUAUUCCACACCUUUAUAAUGGCAUGAUAUGUGUGAGUUUUGUAACUAUUCAAGGAGAUUCUUUUUUUUUGUCUUUUUAUUGGUACCGGGGAUCGAACUCACGACUGCCUGCUUCCAAGGCAGGCGCUUAUGCCGCUGAGCUAAAUCCCAGCCCCUCAAGGAGAUUUUAACACUUUAUUUUUUGAAUGUGAUUCAUGAUUAAUACAAUGAGUACAAUUAGCAAUUAAUAAUUAAUAAAAACAGUAUCAUAUUUCACAUAUAAAUUGUACACAGAAAGGUUACAAUCAAUUGGUCUGUAUUGAAUAGAAUAUCUUGACUGUCAACUUCCAUGAUAUUUAUUCCAUCACUCAAAUGUAAAGCAUUUAAACAAAUCACUGCAGAAUUUCUUGAGCCCAUGUUCUUUAUUUCAAUCAAUAUUUGUUUUCCCCAUAUUGCAAUACUUUGGAAAUCUUCUCAAGCUUGUUUCAAAUUAAUCUAUACUUUCCGCCAUGUCAAAAUAUUAUCAUUUCCUUAAUAUUAAAAAGCUGCUGCUGUAUGCCGUGAGGAUCCAUUGCUUCUAGUGGUAAAAACAGCUCAUUCUUUUCUCUGUUUACCAAGAAAAUUAGAAAUCAAAAUGCAUCAUGGCCAGAAGGUUCAGGGUUUAAGCUUAUGUGGAAGACAGCAUGAUAGUCUUGUUUUUUCUAAGAACGUAUUCUGAUUCUGAUCAUUCAGCUAAGAGCUGGAUCAAGGAAAUGUGAAAAUUUUAAGUUAAUAAAUGUAAAAUAUUUAAGUUAAUAUCCCAGACAAAUGUCUUAAAUCAGAUUUUUAUUGUCACACUUACAAUUUAAUGUGUAUCAAUAUCCACUGGUUAAAUUCACUAUGAAUUAACACUAGUAAAUGAACAAACAAUUUUAUGUGAAUAAAAACUGACAUUUGUAUUACCACUGAUAAAUAUAAUCCCACCAAUAAUACCUCACUGAGAAAGAAUAAUAACAACAACUACCAUCCAUUGAGCCUUUUGUAAGUUCCAGAUGCUACUCCAAGUGCCUGAUAUGGAUUAUUUCCUUGACGCUUCUGACAACCCCCAGCUGAGAAAUUGAGACAUACAGAGGUGGAGUGUCAUAUUUAAGGUCUUAAGAGUCAAUUAUUA
Molecule: long non-coding RNA, 8047 nt
Organism: Cavia porcellus (domestic guinea pig)
Lineage: Eukaryota; Metazoa; Chordata; Mammalia; Rodentia; Caviidae
Exons: 4
Source: RefSeq, a predicted model, not a curated record